GACAGAGGGUGCAAACGUUGUUCGGAAUUACUGGGCGUAAAGCGCGUGUAGGCGGCUCUGCAAGUCGGAUGUGAAAGCCCUGGGCUCAACCUAGGAAGUGCACUCGAAACUGCAGAGCUUGAGUCUCGGAGAGGAUCGCGGAAUUCUCGGUGUAGAGGUGAAAUUCGUAGAUAUCGAGAGGAACACCUGCGGCGAAGGCGGGUUGCUGGGCUGACACUGACGCUGAUGCGCGAAAGCCAGGGGAGCGAACGGG
This 253-nucleotide ribosomal RNA is filed under the name uncultured bacterium. RNAcentral's name for it is "partial 16S ribosomal RNA". It matches the Rfam family "Bacterial small subunit ribosomal RNA", at positions 524 to 776 of the family's 1533-position model. The record is from RNAcentral.